CAGGAAGAAUGCCCUAUGGGUAGUAAACUGCUUUUAUACGGGAAGAAAAAGAGCUACGUGUAGCUUACUGACGGUACCGUAAGAAUAAGGACCGGCUAACUCCGUGCCAGCAGCCGCGGUAAUACGGAGGGUCCGAGCGUUAUCCGGAAUUAUUGGGUUUAAAGGGUCCGUAGGCGGGCCGAUAAGUCAGGGGUGAAAGUCUGCCGCUCAACGGUAGAACUGCCUUUGAUACUGUCGGUCUUGAGUUAUAGUGAAGUUGCCGGAAUAUGUAGUGUAGCGGUGAAAUGCAUAGAUAUUACAUAGAACACCGAUUGCGAAGGCAGGUGACUAACUAUAUACUGACGCUGAUGGACGAAAGCGUGGGGAGCGAACAGGAUUAGAUACCCUGGUAGUCCACGCCGUAAACGAUGGAUACUAGCUGUCCGGGGCCUUGAGUUCUGGGCGGCCAAGCGAAAGUGAUAAGUAUCCCACCUGGGGAGUACGUUCGCAAGAAUGAAACUCAAAGGAAUUGACGGGGGCCCGCACAAGCGGUGGAGCAUGUGGUUUAAUUCGAUGAUACGCGAGGAACCUUACCAGGGCUUAAAUGCAUAUUGACAGGGUCAGAGAUGACUUUUCCUUCGGGCAAUUUGCAAGGUGCUGCAUGGUUGUCGUCAGCUCGUGCCGUGAGGUGUCAGGUUAAGUCCUAUAACGAGCGCAACCCCUACCGUUAGUUGCCAGCAUGUCAUGAUGGGGACUCUAACGGGACUGCCGGUGCAAACCGUGAGGAAGGUGGGG
This 774-nucleotide ribosomal RNA is filed under the name Maribacter dokdonensis. RNAcentral describes it as "bacterial SSU rRNA". It matches the Rfam family "Bacterial small subunit ribosomal RNA", at positions 404 to 1178 of the family's 1533-position model. Lineage: Bacteria; Pseudomonadati; Bacteroidota; Flavobacteriia; Flavobacteriales; Flavobacteriaceae. The record is from RNAcentral.